This is a non-coding RNA of Taeniopygia guttata (zebra finch), 1160 nucleotides long. NCBI's taxonomy places the organism in Eukaryota, Metazoa, Chordata, Aves, Passeriformes, Estrildidae. The record is from RefSeq and is a predicted model, not a curated record.
CUCCCAGUGCUAUCCCUGCUGAUUGCAAUGAUGGUCUUCAGAAGAAUAAAAUGGGAGGAAAAGUCCCAGCUGCAACUUCAAGGAAUGGCUCAAUGCACUAUUCGUGGCUUGAAAGAACAGCAUUGCCAUCCACAGUGGCAGUUUGUAUGAACCUUCUUAGAUGGCUCUCAUGCUCAGAUUUCUGUGCUGCAGCUCAUUAGCAGGAGAGCUGCCUGUGGGGCCGUGGCAGGUUUGUAGUACAGCAGGAUGUGCACUAAAAUCAAAAUCCAGUUAGGAGUGGUGUUAUCCCAAUGCUGCCUGGGCACUAACAAUUAAACCUGGAUGAGAAUAUGACACCUGGACUUUGGGACUCGUGAGAUGAAUAUAAUGCUUGCUGAGGGCUGUCCCUGCCCAGGAAAGCACUAAAACAGGUGUAUAAACCCUGCCGUGUUCGGUGGGAUUUAGGCACCUGCUUAAACUUAAGUGCUUGUUUAGAGAGUUUCCUGAAUGAAAGCCUGACAAUUGUGCCCAAGAGUAACUUUUAAAUUAGUUUUAAUUUGUUCAUCAUAACCAGCUGUCAUGAGCGUGUGUAAAAAAGGGGUCUGAUUCUGGAAAGAUGAAAGACUUCCCAGGCCCUUGGCUUUUAUGUAAGCACCCUUGCUGGAUGGCCAGCAUGCUGCUGAGCUGAAAAAUCUCUGCUCAGCUCUGCUUUUAUUAUGUGUUGCUCUGUGGUCCCACUGGGGCUGCAGUGCCAGCACAGCAAACUGCCGUGCCAGGAGCUGGUACCACCCACUUGCACCUCACCAACAGGGUCCCAUCAGAGGCAAUCUGCAGGCUGCAACAGAGGAGGAGAAAGUCCGUGCUGUAUUUAGUAGUCCCAGUAAAUGUCCUAAGGAGUAACUUCCCCCUUCCUUGAUGCAACCUGAAAGUGCAGCCCUCCAGUUUGCAUUUCAAGUUCCAAGUCAGCCAUGUCAAGAUUUGAGCAACAACCAAGGAGGAUAAUGGCUCAGAUGUUUGGCUCUGCCAGCGGUUAGAAAAGAUGUUGUUUGUCUAAAGAGACAAGGGUGUGGUGAAAAUACUCUGUGCCAGCCAAGUGAACCAAAACACUAUCUGAAUUACUACGGUGGCUGGAAAAAUAAAUUUAACUGACAGAAGAUCUGGACCCUACCUGUGCUGAGAGA